CUCAUUCCGGCCACCGUGCUCACCAAGAGGGACUAAUUUUGAGAAAUGGAAAGUUGCAGCUUCUAAAAAUAUCUCCCUCUGUCUCACUACCUCCUUCCAACACAUGGAGUGGAACCACCUCUGUUGCCUGGACCAGUCCCCGGAAGCCCUGCCCCCGGUCACGGCCAAGGUGGCCUAGGCUGGCGUCAGCUACAAGUCCCUUUUCACAGACAAUCUAGACUCAACAGUCACUGACCUCUCUUCAUCACUCUGCAAACUUGCAAUGCCCAGGACCUUGUUUUGUCCUCAGAGAUGGUUAUUCUUACCCCCGUCUUGAGCCGUGAGGAAACCAGAGGUAUGAAACUGGGACACCCCGAGUCACACAGCUGACUGGUCCUCACACCAGGCUGGAAGCCCAGGUUUCCCAGCACCCUGCCCUCCUCUUCCCAGCAGCUAUGCCUCUGAAUUUAGACCCGCAGCAAUUGAAGAUGGACUUCCAGCAGAGAUGACGGCAUUUGGACCACAGCACUUGCUCCGCCCGAGCUCUGUUCUUCUAAGAAGCCCUCCUAGACAGGACAAAGCUGAGGACCGGGCCUUGCCUGCAUCCCCGGACUGGGAAAUUGAACUGAAUGGUGAGCACCGCACUGGUCGCGGGAGAAGGGCAGAGAGCACAGACCGAGGCAGUGAGGGCUGCCUCUGCUGUCAAGAAGCGGACAGGCUCUCCUCCUUGGGCCUGGUGGACCAACCUCAGGUCCUCGGUCUCCAGAAUGUUCUCCAGGUGGGGAUCCCCAAAUCCCUCCUCACCUGCCGGGAUCUGCAGGUGCUCCGCUCCCACCA
Delphinapterus leucas (beluga whale) is the source of this 816-nucleotide non-coding RNA. NCBI's taxonomy places the organism in Eukaryota, Metazoa, Chordata, Mammalia, Artiodactyla, Monodontidae. The record is from RefSeq and is a predicted model, not a curated record.